GGGGUGUUACAUGUUGCAUCAGAUUCAAUUCGUGCUUAGAAAGUCCAAUUCCAUUUAAUUAGUUUUAUUAUUUUCCAUCUCUAGCCUAGAUACAUGGAUAGAAUCCAUAAAUUGCAAAACCCAGUGACUGGUUUCAAUGAAAUAUUGCAUAGUAUAAAAAGUUUGCAUUCCUUUUAGGAAGUCUCGCAUCUUGCAUGCAUACCUUUAAGCAUAGCAUAUCACCAUUCAUGUCUUGCAUCUAUUUUGGGUAUUCUUUUUCAUUCCUUGCUUCAUUCUCAUUUUCAUGCAUACAUUAGGGUCAUUUAGGUAGAACUAUGCAUUCCUAAUUAGAUUGUCUUUCUUUUAAUUUCAAUUUCAUUCCCCCACCUUGUUUUGUUUUUUUUAUUUCUUUUUCAGGAUCAAUUAUACACUUUGCAAACUUAUUAAGGACCAAGUCCUUGGAUUCAAUACCCGAGGUUUUCCCUAUCCUACACUAGUGGGGAAACUUUGGUUUAUUGCCUUUUUGGACGAUAAAGAAGCAGUUUAACCAGAACCCCUCAAACCACACAUAACAUAC
This 556-nucleotide long non-coding RNA is filed under the name Vigna radiata. RNAcentral describes it as "long non-coding RNA (VRAD_LNC005551)". The record is from RNAcentral. Lineage: Eukaryota; Viridiplantae; Streptophyta; Magnoliopsida; Fabales; Fabaceae.